GACGAACGCUGGCGGCGUGCUUAACACAUGCAAGUCGAGCGGUAAGGCCCUUCGGGUACACGAGCGGCGAACGGGUGAGUAACACGUGGGUGACCUGCCUCUAGCUCUGGGAUAAGCCUGGGAAACUGGGUCUAAUACCGGAUAUGACUCCACGGCGCAUGUUGUGGGGUGGAAAGCCUUGUGUGGCUAGAGAUGGGCCCGCGGCCUAUCAGCUUGUUGGUGGGGUGAGGCCUACCAAGGCGACGACGGGUAGCCGGCCUGAGAGGGCGACCGGCCACACUGGGACUGAGACACGGCCCAGACUCCUACGGGAGGCAGCAGUGGGGAAUCUUGCGCAAUGGGCGAAAGCCUGACGCAGCGACGCCGCGUGAGGGAUGACGGCC
This 383-nucleotide ribosomal RNA is filed under the name uncultured bacterium. RNAcentral's name for it is "bacterial SSU rRNA". It matches the Rfam family "Bacterial small subunit ribosomal RNA", at positions 28 to 416 of the family's 1533-position model. The record is from RNAcentral.